UACAGAGGUGGCAAGCGUUGUUCGGAAUUACUGGGCGUAAAGGGCGCGUAGGCGGCCUGCUAAGUCAUACGUGAAAUCCCUCGGCUCAACCGGGGAACUGCGUGUGAUACUGGCGGGCUUGAAUUCGGGAGAGGGAUGCGGAAUUCCAGGUGUAGCGGUGAAAUGCGUAGAUAUCUGGAGGAACACCGGUGGCGAAGGCGGCAUCCUGGACCGGUAUUGACGCUGAGGCGCGAAAGCUAGGGGAGCAAACGGG
Molecule: ribosomal RNA, 253 nt
Filed under: uncultured bacterium
Lineage: Bacteria
Description: partial 16S ribosomal RNA
Rfam family: Bacterial small subunit ribosomal RNA
Source: RNAcentral